GACGAACGCUGGCGGCGUGCUUAAUACAUGCAAGUCUACGAUUUUUAAAGUAGCAAUAUUUUAAAGAGAGUGGCGCACGGGUGAGUAACACGUAGGUAAUCUGCCUUUAGGUCUGACACAACUCGUCGAAAGACGGGCUAAUAUCAGAUAAUGCAGCGAUCCGGCAUCGGGUUGUUGUCAAAGCUUCGGCGCCCAAAGAUGAGCCUGCGGUCCCAUUAGGUAGUUGGCGGAGUAACGGCCCACCAAGCCAACGAUGGAUAGCUGGUCUGAGAGGAUGAUCAGCCACACUGGAACUGAGACACGGUCCAGACUCCUACGGGAGGCAGCAGUAGGGAAUAUUGGGCAAUGGGCGCAAGCCUGACCCAGCGACGCCGCGUGGGGGAAGAAGUCUUUCGGG
This 397-nucleotide ribosomal RNA is filed under the name uncultured bacterium. Its description in RNAcentral is "bacterial SSU rRNA". It matches the Rfam family "Bacterial small subunit ribosomal RNA", at positions 28 to 422 of the family's 1533-position model. The record is from RNAcentral.